GGCCGCGAAUUCGCCCUUAGAGUUUGAUCAUGGCUCAGGGUGAACGCUGGCGGCAUGUCUAAGGCAUGCAAGUCGAAUGCGAGCUUGCUCGCAUGGCAAACGGGAGAGUAACACGUUGGUAACCUACCUUUAUCUUAGGGAUAACCCGGAGAAAUCUGGAAUAAUACCUAAUAGUCAUGGGGGGACAUAAGUCAUUCCCAUGUAAAGAUUUAUCGGAUAAAGAGGGGCCUACGGCACAUCAGCUUGUUGGUAAGGUAAAAGCUUACCAAGGCUACGACGUGUAGCGGGUGUGAGAGCAUGACCCGUCUCACUGGAACUGAGACACUGUCCAGACUCCUACGGGAGGCUGCAGUCAAGAAUCUUCCUCAAUGGACGAAAAUCUGAAGGAGCAAUGCCGCGUGAUCGAUGAAGCUUUUCGGAGUGUAAAGAUCUUUUAUCAAGGACGAAUUCGUGACGGUACUUGAUGAAUAAGUCACUGCUAACUACGUGCCAGCAGCAGCGGUAAUACGUAGGUGGCGAGCGUUACCCGGAUUGAUUGGGCGUAAAGGGUCCGCAGGCGGUUUGAACAGUCGUUGGUCAAAUCUUGAGGCUUAACCUCAAGACUGCCAAUGAUACUUUUAAACUAGAGACUGGGAGAGGCAAACGGAAUUGCCGGUGUAGUAGUAAAAUGCGUUGAUAUCGGUAGGAACACCAAAAGCGAAGGCAGUUUGCUAGAACAGUUCUGACGCUCAGGGACGAAAGCAUGGGUAGCGAAUGGGAUUAGAUACCCCAGUAGUCCAUGCCGUAAACGAUGGGUACUA
RNAcentral lists this ribosomal RNA (800 nucleotides) under uncultured bacterium. Its description in RNAcentral is "partial 16S ribosomal RNA". It matches the Rfam family "Bacterial small subunit ribosomal RNA", at positions 1 to 818 of the family's 1533-position model. The record is from RNAcentral.